RNAcentral lists this ribosomal RNA (460 nucleotides) under uncultured bacterium. RNAcentral's name for it is "partial 16S ribosomal RNA". It matches the Rfam family "Bacterial small subunit ribosomal RNA", at positions 338 to 795 of the family's 1533-position model. The record is from RNAcentral.
CCUACGGUGGGCAGCAGUGAGGAAUAUUGGUCAAUGGGCGAGAGCCUGAACCAGCCAAGUCGCGUGAAGGAUGAAGGAUCUAUGGUUUGUAAACUUCUUUUAUAUGGGAAUAAAGUGAGGAACGUGUUCCUUUUUGUAUGUACCAUAUGAAUAAGCAUCGGCUAACUCCGUGCCAGCAGCCGCGGUAAUACGGAGGAUGCGAGCGUUAUCCGGAUUUAUUGGGUUUAAAGGGUGCGUAGGUGGUUAAUUAAGUCAGCGGUGAAAGUUUGUGGCUCAACCAUAAAAUUGCCGUUGAAACUGGUUGACUUGAGUAUAUUUGAGGUAGGCGGAAUGCGUGGUGUAGCGGUGAAAUGCAUAGAUAUCACGCAGAACCCCGAUUGCGAAGGCAGCCUGCCGGGGUGCGACUGACGCUGAGGCUCGAAGGUGCGGGUAUCAAACAGGAUUAGAUACCCCUGUAGUC